UACGAAGGGGGCUAGCGUUGCUCGGAAUCACUGGGCGUAAAGCGCACGUAGGCGGCUUUUUAAGUCAGAGGUGAAAUCCUGGAGCUCAACUCCAGAACUGCCUUUGAUACUGAGAGGCUUGAGUCCGGGAGAGGUGAGUGGAACUGCGAGUGUAGAGGUGAAAUUCGUAGAUAUUCGCAAGGACACCAGUGGCGAAGGCGGCUCACUGGCCCGGUACUGACGCUGAGGUGCGAAAGCGUGGGGAGCAAACAGG
This 253-nucleotide ribosomal RNA is filed under the name uncultured bacterium. RNAcentral describes it as "partial 16S ribosomal RNA". It matches the Rfam family "Bacterial small subunit ribosomal RNA", at positions 524 to 776 of the family's 1533-position model. The record is from RNAcentral.